This is a long non-coding RNA of Populus euphratica (Euphrates poplar), 988 nucleotides long. RefSeq lists it as uncharacterized. The record is from RefSeq and is a predicted model, not a curated record. NCBI's taxonomy places the organism in Eukaryota, Viridiplantae, Streptophyta, Magnoliopsida, Malpighiales, Salicaceae. The transcript has 2 exons.
ACCUUCAUUUUUCUAGACAUGGGCCUAAACAGCACAGACCUGACAUGGGUUUGUGACGAUGAAUGAAGUUUAGUUGCCUCAUGUUAUCGUGGCCUUGUCUUGAAAGGAGCAGCAAAUACGAGUGAACUCCGGCCACUCUGCCCAGAAGACAAGCUGUUGCCAAUAGCGGUGGAAAUCAAUGCCAAAGAAAUUCGAUGCAGAAAACGUUCACAGUUUCAUUAACCUCUGCCUUUCCUUAACUGACCAAGAAACAGGAAAGAUGAUGAUUAGUGUCCGGCGCCUUUCCCGCUAGGUCCAGAGGAAGCCACCUUAUACACCUGCCGCUUUGCUCCAGAAACCUGACCACCACCAGCGUCGUCAACAGACUCUGGAUCAACUGAAACUUUCAUGUUGGUUGACACAGAACCAAACCCGCGGUCAUCGAUAGGAUCAGUAGUAGCAUGGUGAUCAUCGUUCUCGUUCUUCGUUGCUGAUGCAAGAGCUCUAGAAUCAACGAGACUUGGGUUUGUAACAAGUAGGAUCAUGAGCAAGAUGAGUACGGUCAAACAGAAGUGUCCCAUUGUUUGAUAUGUUGAAGCUGUUGGGUUAUGGUUUUUUGAACUCUAAUAUUAUUAGCAGCUCCACCUAUGACAACCCUUGAAAUAUUCCCUGGAGACCCAAAAAGAGUGGAGCUCCUUUUUUGUCUUUUGGUUGGGGCAAAGAACGGAGCUGAAGGAGUUGAUUUGGAUUUUCGAAUCUCCAUUGAACAGGUUACCAACCUUAAUUUAUACACACAACUCGCAUUAAGGGAUAGUUUGGGUGGCACAGGACGGAGGGGGCUUUUUCUGAAAUGGGACCGUUCAACCAAGAGAACAUUUGACUAGAAAUUCUCUUCUGUUUGUUUCGAAGCAAAUUUCACUUUCACACUUGUGUCUUUCCGUUCCUUUUGUCUCUGAAAUUGAUUUACCACAUUUGGAAACACAGGUGGUGGAAGUUGAUUAUUCGUUUA